UAUCCGGAUUUAUUGGGUUUAAAGGGAGCGUAGGCCGGGGAUUAAGUGUGUUGUGAAAUGUAGGCGCCCAACGUCUGACUUGCAGCGCAUACUGGUUCCCUUGAGUACGCGCAACGCCGGCGGAAUUCGUCGUGUAGCGGUGAAAUGCUUAGAUAUGACGAAGAACCCCGAUUGCGAAGGCAGCCGGCGGGAGCGCAACUGACGCUGAAGCUCGAAGGUGCGGGUAUCGAACAGG
This 235-nucleotide ribosomal RNA is filed under the name uncultured Prevotella sp. RNAcentral describes it as "partial 16S ribosomal RNA". It matches the Rfam family "Bacterial small subunit ribosomal RNA", at positions 542 to 776 of the family's 1533-position model. The record is from RNAcentral. Lineage: Bacteria; Pseudomonadati; Bacteroidota; Bacteroidia; Bacteroidales; Prevotellaceae.